RNAcentral lists this ribosomal RNA (323 nucleotides) under uncultured eukaryote. RNAcentral describes it as "partial 18S ribosomal RNA". It matches the Rfam family "Eukaryotic small subunit ribosomal RNA", at positions 1470 to 1796 of the family's 1831-position model. The record is from RNAcentral.
CCCUUAGAUGUUCUGGGCCGCACGCGCGCUACACUGAUGCAUUCAACAAGCCUAGCCUUGACCGAGAGGUCCGGGUAAUCUUUGAAACUGCAUCGUGAUGGGGCUAGAUUAUUGCAAUUAUUAAUCUUCAACGAGGAAUGCCUAGUAAGCGUGAUUCAUCAAAUCGCGUUGAUUACGUCCCUGCCCUUUGUACACACCGCCCGUCGCUCCUACCGAUUGAAUGAUCCGGUGAAUAAUUCGGACUGCGGCAUUGACCGGUUCCCGAUCGUUGCUGCGGAAAGUUUAGUGAACCUUAUCACUUAGAGGAAGGAGAAGUCGUAACA